Molecule: long non-coding RNA, 564 nt
Organism: Bos taurus (domestic cattle)
Lineage: Eukaryota; Metazoa; Chordata; Mammalia; Artiodactyla; Bovidae
Source: Ensembl
GUUUCUCUCCAAGAGAAGAUGGAGGAAGCACAGCUAAGUGACUGGAAAUUUGACAUGCCUUCAUGUCAAGAGAUACCUGUACCUCUUGGAAACAACAAGCCCUUUGUGGUACCUCAGUGGGAUCAUCAGUGGGGCAUGGCCCUCUCUUGGACAACGUUCUCAUGCUGCUUUGCAAAGAGAAUAUAUAACAGGAUUUGUACAGUUUUUAGCUAUGAAGACUAAGACCCAUAUGAACAUCUGAAUACAAAUCUUUCAACAGCCCUAUGUUAUAAUUUGCCUUGAAUAAAUAGAAGUGGAAAUGCUGGAUCAAAUGGUAACUGUGCAUGCAUGCUUAGUCAUGUCCAACUCUUUGCGACCCUAUGGACUGUAGCCCACCAGGCUCCUCUGUCCAUGGGAUUCUCCAGGGAAGAAUACUGGAGUGGGUUGCAUGCCCUCCUCCAGGGGAUCUUUCCAACAUAGGGAUCAAACCCACGUCUCUUGUGGCUCAUGCAUUGGUCGACGGAUUCUUUACCGCUGAGCAGCCGGGGAUACACAGAAGUGGGAAUGGUAGAUCGAAUGGUAAAG